Long non-coding RNA from Stylophora pistillata, 907 nucleotides. NCBI's taxonomy places the organism in Eukaryota, Metazoa, Cnidaria, Anthozoa, Scleractinia, Pocilloporidae. The record is from RefSeq and is a predicted model, not a curated record.
GACCAUGACCAAAGUCACAUGCGGAAAGAAAUAUUUACUUUACAUAAUCAUACAAACUGAGCUUGAGGACUGUAAUAGGAAAUAUUGGUACAAGGUCGUGAUAAUUAUGAACUGAGGGCCAAUAUUCUUUUGUACAACUUAAGCAGGCUAGUGUGGUAAGUAAAUUAAUUUACAGGACUUGUGCCUUUGUGGUUUCUUUUUUCUGCAAAAUAGCUCCUCAGGCUACUUGAAUUUAAUGGGCUUUUCUUGUAAUAUUUUUUGAUGAUGGAAGCAUCUCAUGUAGAACAAGCUACUUGUGUAAGGUGGUAGGAUAGGUUAAACUUGCCUACUUGGUUGACCAAACAUUAAACAGGAUUUGCCUCAUUGCAUCAACUUGUAUUGUGAGCUAUAUCAUAAAAAAUGUUUUCAGAAACACUAUCUCUCUAACUUCAUUUUAGAACAGUAUGUAACAUGUUGCUGGUGGCGAAGAAUUUCUUUUGUACAUUCAUGAUUUAGUGCAGGGAAAAGAGUAUUUCAAAUGUGCUGAGAACCAUGGAAUCUUUGUGCGUCAGUCUCAAAUAGCUGUUCUUCAGGAUGCACCAACCUCCCCAUCACCUCAGCGUGGAUCGUCCACUCGCAGCAGCAUUGGUGGAGGAACUUCCAUUCCUUUACCAUCAUCAAUGAGGAAAGAGAAGUCUUUUGGGUCAAGGGGUUCCUUAGAGAAUGUUGGUAGCAGACCAUCGCCACCUUCCUCUAGGUUAGCAACACCAAAAACCAGCACAACUACUGCUCCUGAGCUAUCAUCAAACAGUUCCCUGAGCAAGAUUCCAGCAGCUGCUUCAACUCCUUUGCCAUCAGGCCCAAGAAAGAUGUCUUCAGGACCAGCAAUAUCAGCUGAUGAGUAUAUGGCUCUUCAAAAGAAGGUUAG